UACGUAUGGUGCAAGCGUUAUCCGGAAUCACUGGGCGUAAAGGGUACGUAGGCGGUUUUGUAAGUCAGAAGUGAAAGGCUACGGCUCAACCGUAGUAAGCUUUUGAAACUACAAGACUAGAGUGCAGGAGAGGCAAGUGGAAUUCCUAGUGUAGAGGUGAAAUUCGUAGAUAUUAGGAGGAACACCAGUGGCGAAGGCGACUUGCUGGACUGUAACUGACGCUGAGGUACGAAAGCGUGGGGAGCAAACA
Molecule: ribosomal RNA, 250 nt
Filed under: uncultured bacterium
Lineage: Bacteria
Description: partial 16S ribosomal RNA
Rfam family: Bacterial small subunit ribosomal RNA
Source: RNAcentral